Molecule: unclassified non-coding RNA, 242 nt
Filed under: uncultured fungus
Lineage: Eukaryota; Fungi
Description: sequence contains ITS1
Source: RNAcentral
GUUUCUCAUUGUUUCUCAUUUAUUGCGUCAGUGAUCUCAAGAAUAGUGGUUGGUUGUUUAACGUCGCGACGAAGGCUCAAGACCCACGCAGGCAAAAGCCCACGCAGGCAAAAAGCCAGCGCCCCGACCAGUGGAGUUCACAAGGUGGGUGAAUUUGACUGCCCGAUCAAACGCAUAACACGAAAGGUCGGGACGAGCCAAUGUAUUCAGUAAUGAUCCAACCGCAGGUUCACCUACGGUUA